GACGAACGCUGGCGGCGUGCUUAACACAUGCAAGUCGAACGGAAAGGCCCUGCUUUUGUGGGGUGCUCGAGUGGCGAACGGGUGAGUAACACGUGAGUAACCUGCCCUUGACUUUGGGAUAACUUCAGGGAACUGGGGCUAAUACCGGAUAGGAGCUCCUGCUGCAUGGUGGGGGUUGGAAAGUUUCGGCGGUUGGGGAUGGACUCGCGGCUUAUCAGCUUGUUGGUGGGGUAGUGGCUUACCAAGGCUUUGACGGGUAGCCGGCCUGAGAGGGUGACCGGCCACAUUGGGACUGAGAUACGGCCCAGACUCCUACGGGAGGCAGCAGUGGGGAAUAUUGCACAAUGGGCGGAAGCCUGAUGCAGCAACGCCGCGUGCAGGAUGACGGCCUUCGGGUUGUAAACCGCUUUCGCCUGUGACGAAGCGUGAGUGACGGUAAUGGGUAAAGAAGCACCGGCUAACUACGUG
RNAcentral lists this ribosomal RNA (468 nucleotides) under uncultured bacterium. RNAcentral describes it as "partial 16S ribosomal RNA". It matches the Rfam family "Bacterial small subunit ribosomal RNA", at positions 28 to 507 of the family's 1533-position model. The record is from RNAcentral.